UACGGGGGGGGCAAGCGUUGUUCGGAAUUACUGGGCGUAAAGGGCUCGUAGGCGGCCAACUAAGUCGGAUGUGAAAUCCCCAAGCUUAACUUGGGAACUGCAUCCGAUACUGGAUGGCUUGAAUCCGGGAGAGGGAUGCAGAAUUCCAGGUAUAGCGGUGAAAUGCGUAGAUAUCUGGAGGAAUACCGGUGGCGAAGGCGGCAUCCUGGACCGGCAUUGACGCUGAGGAGCGAAAGCUAGGGGAGCAAACGGG
Molecule: ribosomal RNA, 253 nt
Filed under: uncultured bacterium
Lineage: Bacteria
Description: partial 16S ribosomal RNA
Rfam family: Bacterial small subunit ribosomal RNA
Source: RNAcentral